GAGGGGGUGGCGUGUGAGUGCGUGGAGGGUAAAAGCCAGUCAGUCAGUGAGAAGCAAAGGUACGUUGGAGAGCAACUAAAAUCUGACUGAUUUCCAUCUUUGGAGCAUCAGAUGUAUUCCCUAAGGAGGAUGGGUCUCCGUGAUGGGGGUGGUAUAAUUAUGUUAAUGUCAUAUUUAUGGAGGGGUGAGAUUUUUCAUUCUAAUAAUUGGUUGAAUGCUAUGGUCAAAAAUUGUAAAGCCAUAUUCAGUUUUAAGGAAAAGCAUGGACUUAUAUCUAAGGACUGUUUUAUUUUUUGCUUUUUGUGAGUGCUGCUUUUUUAUUUUAUUUUUUAACUAUUUACUAUUUUAAGCCAUAACGGAUUCAGUAUGGAAAAUCAAAUGAUAAACAGAAAGAGAUCUUAUAUAAUGAUGCAUUACAUCAUGGAGCAGAAUAUUUAAAGUCUUGCAAGGCAAAGUAAAGAUCUGGACAGGGGGUGGGGGGUGGUGGUUUGGAAAGGGGUGUGGUACUAGGGUGGAGGAGGGGGGCCAGUUAGCAAAUAUUUUGUUCAGCUUUCCUUGCAGCUUACUUGGAAAUGGAUGAUUCACCUGUUCUACAGGAAAACAUUCUAAUUCUUUCCAUUUUUUUUCCUCCUCUUUUCCCUUUUAAGAUCAACCACUUCAGAAGAACCAGAUUCCACUUCUGUGGCCAGGACUUUUAUGUUAUGGCUGGUCCGAUUGUUAUACACUGCGUUUUAUGCUACUAAACCUUGGAUCAUUCCUAAAGUACCAAUUCUGUUCUUGAACCACAAACAAGGCUAAAAGAUCGGAGGAAAUUCAGUGAAUAUGCAGGAUUGGGAUUGUGUAUUUUCAAAAGUAUUGAGCUUUAUAAUGCAAUUAUUUAAGAAAUAGAAUCUUUUUUUUUCUUCUCAUGUUGCCAGCAUUUUAAGUUACAUGUUUAUUAAGUGGCAUUGCUCAAAUAGCUACAGAGUAUGCAUGGGAAUAUUUGCUGUCUGAAUAGUUUGGAGAUUCAAAGAGAAAAAUCAAGCUUCAGAGGUAUUAAGUUAUGACAUGCAAAAAAGUUUUCGUUUUAUUCUUAGCUGCAACAGUAUAUAUUUAAAUCAGAUUUAAAGUGUUCUAUGUCCUUGGCCCACCUUAACAGUUGUACUGUAAAGAAGUGUAAUGGGAAGCAGAAUUUCAAUUAGGGUCCCAUUAACUGGCAUAUAAUCCUUCUUUAAUGUAAUAGAGGCUAUGGUGUUUCUGUACAAAUCUGCUAGAAACAGAUUUUAACCCAUUUUUAGUCUCUUUCUUUGGAUCUGAUGGAAUGACUCUUAACUGUUCAUUGUCUGCAUUGUUUCUCAUAUUCUUCAUUAUUUUAAGGUCUGGAAUUAGUCUAUAAAUGGUCGUCGUGAAUAUUCAGCUAAUCCUAACUUUUAUAUAUCCUAUAUAUUUCUACAUAUGUAUUUUAAUUAGUAUUUAGAGGAAAAAGUUUAACUGAACCCAACUGUAAUUUCUAAGCUAGCCUUAUUACUGGAAGAAGAAUUCUACCGCAUCAAACCAGACUUUUCCUAGUCCCUGAGACCCUAACUUGUGAGGUAUUUUAGUAACAUCACAAGUCAGGCUCUUGGGACCUAGGCGGAGGGGAACCAGCAGCUUUGGACCUUAUUGAUUGUCUGCAGUUACCACCAGAACAAAAGAACAUACAUAGAUUCUGCCUAGGAGAAAAGAACAAUGCUUUUCUUUAUAAUCAGCAAUGUUUUCAUCAUGACCCACCCCCAAAUAUACUAUUUUCAGAAACUGUACUCAAAAGUGAUUAUAGAGUUGCACUGAGUAGCAUUUGUAUUAUAUUAUAAAGACCAUAUGAAAGCAAUAGAAGAUAACUAUGUGAGAAGCAAAGUUAAAAUACAGGUGUUUUUAAAAUGCUUCUUUUAAUGUAUUUUGAGAGAGUCUAAGAGAAUACCUCCUUAGUUGAUAAAGAAGAGAGUGGUUUAUAUUUAAAACUUCUUUCAUAUGCAUAGAAAUAUAUACAUUAGCUACUUACAUAAAUCCUAUAUGUCUCCAUGUAAUUAUGGCUCAGAAUAUGUAAUGUAUAGCUAUAAUCAUGCUUGAGGCCUAGAAAUAAAUCAUUUACAAUCUUCUUUACUGACCCUAUUAGUUUUUACUACUGAUUUAAGGAGAAUGCUAUUUUAUAGUUGGUAUUUACUCCCAGAGUUUUCCUUAGUCUUUUAACCAGACGAAAUACUUUAUAUGCCAUAUUUUAAUAAGGCAUACUCUGGUUGUAAGAGUCAUCAGUAAUUAGCAAAAAUAUGGUACCUUUUCAUCUUUACAUUUUACUUUGUAUAUAUAUCAUGAACCUAUGUGAGAUAAAUCAGUAAACACCACCUAUGAAGUCAGACUGCUCUAUUCAUCUGUCAACUGAAUCUGAACUGCAUAGUUUUCGUUUUUGAAGAAUUUCAGUUUUAUAAACUAUUCCAACUAUAACUACCGUGUCAUAUUUGAACAUUAUUAGCCAUUACCACAUCACAUAUUUAUUUCUUGUAAGUGGAAUCAGUAUAUUAAACCCCUUUACAGAUUUUAUAAUAGUAUUGCAGAUACUAAGAUUCAAAAUGGAGAUGACAGACUUUCUAUAAUAGAAGAACCAAAAUGAUUUCAUUCUCGUAACUCUAAUGCUUUACAUGGGUGCUAUAAAUUAUAUGUAUCUUCUGCAUUGUUAAAAUAAAUGUGUGAAUGUACUUUAGAACACUGUAUGGAGUCUUUGUUCACCUUUUCAUUGGAUUUGUUACAAUUACUCAUGUUUGAAAUAUCCCAGGAUCCUAAUCACCCAUGACUUGUAUUUCCUGAAAAAUUGAUACUACAAUAUUAUAAACAUAUUCUUCAUCUAUAUGAGUCACAUAGAAUAUGUUUAAGCAUGUGUCCACACUGUACCUAUUCAGAUUCCUUAUUUAUAUCACCUAUUUCAUUUAUCUAGAAUCUCUGAAAUUUUAAGUGUGUAUAUGUGUGUGUAUAAACAUAGGUUUUAAAACUCCAUCUGAAAGGAGGUAAUAUAAACAGUGAAGAUUUUUGGUAGUAUUUAUCUUUUACUUGUUUUAACCACGUUUUCAUUAUAAUUAGACAGCUUUAAAAGCACAAGUUUCUCAAUUCAAAGAACUCUAUGUGUAUGUAUCUACAAGUGCAUAGAGACUUGAUUAUAUUUAAUAGCAAUGUUUAUAUAUCCGAUCAGGAAUGACCUCAUAUAUAAAACAAUGUCACAUACAGGUAUAUGUUUACAGACACCUGAUUCAACACAAUCAUAAAUAACACGUAAAAGGUGUUUCAUAAAUUUACUUCUAAAAUAAUAUAAGGGAUGAUUGUUUAUUGGCUAUAGUGAUAUCAGAUAUAAGCUGUUUCAAAUGCAAUAUUUUCUAUGUUAUUAUAUCUAUGAACUGCACUAUAUAUUAACUUCUGUUUCAUAGAAGAAAGAUACCAGAGCUGAAUUUAGCGUGCAGUGAUGUUUAUCUUGCUUUUUUACUAAUCAUCAUGCAUUCGUUGAACCCUCUCAAUGUAACCUUCCUGCAUAUAAACUAUCUUUUCUGAGAACAUCAUUGAUAAAGCUUUUCUCUUACUCCAUAAAGGUGAGUAGAGAUAUAAGUGGGUGACUUUGUUUAUAUAAAACUACUUUAUGCUGUAUAUGGAUAGAUGAAUGCCACUUUUUCUGCAUUUCUACCUAAGCUGUCACAGAAUAAUAUUGUUUGGGGGGUAUAAAAUAUGAUUUGGAAAAUCAGAUCAUACUAAGGUUAAAAUAAAAGGAGAGGUCUACAACAAAGAACGAGAAAAUUAUGUGUGUUGCAUACAAAAAAAAAAAAGCAGUGAUAUUAACAAUUCGAUGGCUUCCUGGUUGGGAGACCAGCCUGAGCCAGACGCAUAUAUUAAGAGCUGUCUGCUGCCGAUGUGAGCUUGCUCAAUGCGGUGGAAAUGAGGAAUCACCUCCUCUCUGACACCAGCUUAUUUUCACAUUUUAAUUUUGAAAUAGCAAAUCACUGUUUUACAUAAAUAUACUAACCUCCGCUUGAUUCUUAUUCCUUUCUCAGAUUGCUUGUUAAUUUACUAUGAACUUCAAGUUCCUUUUUUAAAAAUCAUCACUCACUUUAAACUUAUCAGUUUAAAAUCUAUCAAAGACCAAUGAAGUAUUAGUUUUUUUCUGUCUCUUUUGUAUUGCUCUGUUAAUAUUGUGAUACUCAUGCAUUUAACUUUUAAUCUCUGUAAGGAAAAUGUCAAUUUUCCAAAAUGGCAUUUUUUUUUAGGUCUUUUAGGAUCCAUCAAGGCAGCCACUUCUGGAAUUUUGCCAAAUCUAAAUAUGAUUAUAUUUCAUUGCAGGGUUCAUGGGAUCAAUAUUUUUCUUCGUAUGAAAGUCCUUAACACUUUAGUGUUCCAGAAGCUAAAGAAGAGGUAUAUAGAGAUAUUCUUAAGUCAUUUAAGCUUUAGGCUACAUUAAUAAUCUCUAGAAGAGGUAUAAGUAUCACAGGGGAAUUAUAGUAUAAGUUAAUUACUAAUGAAAUCAGAAAAGGUGUAUACUGCCUUCCAUUCUCUUCCAAAUGGGCAUGCCUAAGUUUGGUCGAAUUCACCUGAUAAAUAUGUAAAUGGUUUUACAAGCUGUCAUAUUUGGAUAGGUUUUGAGAAAACAGUACAUAAAGGGUUAGCUAACGCCCAAGUUUUCUUGCCAUUUACACAUGCAGUGCUGCCUACAUUUCCGUAGGCAGCAAGCACAGGCAUCAUUUUGAUUACUUGGAUUCUUUUGUUUAAUUUCUUACUAGACAUUUAACUCGGUACUCAAAUUCCACUGAUCUCUUAGUAACUGUAUUUGGAAAAGGAAAAUGAAGUUUCUAAUAUAGAGAAGUUUUAAAAAAUCCUGGGCAUUUGUAAGCAUUUGAAAAAUAGACUUUUUCGUGUAGCUAUGCAAAUACAUGUUUAGUGUGCAGAAACUUAGGUGCUAUUAUUAUCUGUCAUCUCCAUACUUAGUUUUCUGAUGAUUUGUGGUCAAAUACACACUGAAGCAUAUAUGCAUAUAUUUAUUAUAUAUGUAUAUAUCUUCAUUUUUAAAAAGUCUCAAUAAAAUCAAUGUAAAAAUUGACAUAUUGUCAUAAAAUCAUCCACAGCAGUUUUUCAGUGAGCUAGCUUCAACUUUCAUUGCCUUUUCCCCAAAUCUCUCUUAUGUUAAAUGUAGCUUUACUGGAUGAAGUGCCUUACUAUCCGGAACUGUUAACUUGUAUGUAAUGUUUUACUUGUGGAAGUUUAAAAGCAGGUGGAACUUGAAGGUAAUGAUAUUAAGGGAAUGUAAGAUUAAAUAGUUUUGUUUUUAUAAUCAGUCAGCUAAUUUCAUGCAUGUUUUAUGGGGAAUUUAAAAGUGAAAAAUUCUCAUAUGGUGACAUAAAUCUUUCAUUGUUCAUAUAAGUAGUGUGAUUUUAAGUUUGUUACCUUAAUAGUUGAUUCCUAAAAAAGUGUAUGAAUAAUCAUGGACUGCAUAUCAGUUAGGUUAAUGAAAUAAGAAUAGUGACUUCCACUUUGCAUCUUAGUCUUUUAAGGUAUUUUGGCUUUUUUUAUGCAGGUGGAUUUAACCAUUCCUUUUUUCUAAGAAGUUUCUCCCUCUCUGUUGGUAGGUGUCUGAUGAUUUGUGAGCACCAAGUGACUAUUCUGUGGAAUCAUCUUUCCUUGCCUUUGAAUUAGCUUUCCCUAGGCCAUGAGUCAACAUCAAUGUUUUGUACAUCCAAAUUGGU
Molecule: long non-coding RNA, 5726 nt
Filed under: Lynx pardinus (Iberian lynx)
Lineage: Eukaryota; Metazoa; Chordata; Mammalia; Carnivora; Felidae
Rfam family: lin-4 microRNA precursor family (bases 1543-1612)
Source: RNAcentral